Molecule: ribosomal RNA, 95 nt
Filed under: Periophthalmus magnuspinnatus
Lineage: Eukaryota; Metazoa; Chordata; Actinopteri; Gobiiformes; Gobiidae
Source: RNAcentral
CCUCCUUGUCAAAGCCUGAUCUCGUUGGAUCUCAGAAGCUAAGCAAGGCCGAGCCUGGUUAGUACUGGGAUGGGAAACUGCUGGAAAUUGUAGGU